RNAcentral lists this ribosomal RNA (489 nucleotides) under Vadumasonium sp. 1 BJS-2011. Its description in RNAcentral is "eukaryotic LSU rRNA". It matches the Rfam family "Eukaryotic large subunit ribosomal RNA", at positions 707 to 1129 of the family's 3401-position model. Lineage: Eukaryota; Metazoa; Arthropoda; Insecta; Hymenoptera; Braconidae. The record is from RNAcentral.
CCUAAAGGCGCAAUGAAAGUAAAGGUUGUCCUUGUGUCAACCGAGGGAGGAUGAGGUGUAUUAYAAUAUAUUUUCGCACUCCCGGGGCGUUUCGUUCUCAUUGCGAGAAGAGGCGCACCUAGAGCGUACACGUUGGGACCCGAAAGAUGGUGAACUAUGCCUGGUCAGGAUGAAGUCAGGGGAAACCCUGAUGGAGGUCCGUAGCGAUUCUGACGUGCAAAUCGAUCGUCGGAACUGGGUAUAGGGGCGAAAGACUAAUCGAACCAUCUAGUAGCUGGUUCCCUCCGAAGUUUCCCUCAGGAUAGCUGGUGCUCGUGAGUUCUAUGAACUUUUUAUGAGUCUCAUCUGGUAAAGCGAAUGAUUAGAGGCCUUGGGGCCGAAACGACCUCAACCUAUUCUCAAACUUUAAAUGGGUGAGAUCUCUGGCUUGCUUGAAUAUAUAUAAAAUAAUGAAGCCACGAGAUAAUAUUGGAUCAGAGUGCCAAGUGG